Long non-coding RNA from Balaenoptera ricei (Rice's whale), 417 nucleotides. RefSeq lists it as uncharacterized. NCBI's taxonomy places the organism in Eukaryota, Metazoa, Chordata, Mammalia, Artiodactyla, Balaenopteridae. The transcript is spliced from 3 exons. The record is from RefSeq and is a predicted model, not a curated record.
GGGAGAAAGAAGAAGACAAGUGUCUUGUCCAAGGCUUCCAGUAAGGGGACACGGGUUCGAUCCCUGGUCCUGGAAGAUACCACAUGCCGCGGAGCAACUAAGCCCGUGCACCACAACUACUGAGCCUGUGCUCUAGAGCCCGCGUGCUGCAACUACUGAGCCCACGCACUGCAACUACUGAAGCCCACGCGACUAGAGCCUGUGCUCUGCAACGGGAAGGCCACUGCAAUGAGAAGCCCUUGCAUUGCAACAAAGAGUCGCCCCUGCUCACUACAACUAGAGAAAGCCCGCGCACAGCAAUGAAGAUCCGAUGCAGCCAAAAGUAAAUAAUUACAUGUAACUAGGAAUGACUCUUGGUCAGAAGACUUGAGUCACCAAGCUGCCGUGCCUACUGACUGUGUGCGGCUGAGGUGGUGC